This is a small nucleolar RNA of Zerene cesonia (dogface butterfly), 78 nucleotides long. NCBI's taxonomy places the organism in Eukaryota, Metazoa, Arthropoda, Insecta, Lepidoptera, Pieridae. The record is from RefSeq and is a predicted model, not a curated record.
UUUACAUGAUGAAUAACUUUAUCACCAUCUUUCGACUGAGAAACAGUGCUGUUACUUACUUAGUAUCUGAUUAUAUUG